GUGCUUUUGUAUUAAACAAAAGGCCUUGCAUUGAUUUAUUCAUAGAUUGAUAAUGGAUUGAGGACAACACACAUGAUAACGAUGGACUCAGGACCACGUCCAUGAAGAUGGUGGACUCAGUACAAUACGAAUGAUUGAUAAUGGAUUGAGGACAACAGACAGGAAGAUGAGGACAACACACAUGAUAAUGAUGGACCUAGGACCACGUCCAUGAAGAUGGUGGACUCAGUACAAUACGAAUGAUUGAUAAUGGAUUGAGGACAACAGACAGGAAGAUGAGGACAACACACAUGAUAAUGAUGGACCUAGGACCACGUCCAUGAAGAUGGUGGACUCAGUACAAUACGAAUGAUGGAUAAUGGAUUGAGGACAACAGACAUGAAGAAGGAGAUGGACCCGGGAC
Long non-coding RNA from Pygocentrus nattereri (red-bellied piranha), 403 nucleotides. RefSeq lists it as uncharacterized. The transcript has 4 exons. The record is from RefSeq and is a predicted model, not a curated record. NCBI's taxonomy places the organism in Eukaryota, Metazoa, Chordata, Actinopteri, Characiformes, Serrasalmidae.